AAGAAAACAACCUCUUCUGUAGUUCCUUACCUCUAGUAGCAAGUGCUGACUUGCCAAGCCAGAAGAAGGAGAAGGAACAAUUCAAAGCUCUGGCAGACUUCCAGCUGGUACUGAUGCCUGUUUAUAACGGAUCCCAAGUUUUGAAGGCUUUCUGUAAUGGCUUCCACUUGGAGGUUGAUACUUUUUAAAAAUCAGUGUAAUUCCAUUGACCAGAGUGCUCUCAUGCCAGACAAUGAGAAGUAAAUUUUCUGGAGUCUGUGAAACUAUGCUGACAUGGCAUCUGACCAGAUGUACUUGGUAACAGCUCACAAACAGGGUAUUAAUUGGAAGAGCAUGUCAGAUUUGAUAACACAAAGAAAAGCAGAAAUAUUUGCUCCUCUCCAGACUGGCUGAGGAGGUGUCCAUGACUCACAUGAGGUUGUAGUGGCACAAUCAGAGAAAGGGUCCUAAAAGCCUACCUCUGCUGUGUCUGUAACCUGCAAAAAGAAAAUCAGCUUC
Long non-coding RNA from Harpia harpyja (harpy eagle), 498 nucleotides. RefSeq lists it as uncharacterized. NCBI's taxonomy places the organism in Eukaryota, Metazoa, Chordata, Aves, Accipitriformes, Accipitridae. The record is from RefSeq and is a predicted model, not a curated record. The transcript is spliced from 4 exons.